Molecule: long non-coding RNA, 1180 nt
Filed under: Medicago truncatula (barrel medic)
Lineage: Eukaryota; Viridiplantae; Streptophyta; Magnoliopsida; Fabales; Fabaceae
Description: lncRNA gene49622
Source: RNAcentral
AAGCAUUUGGCAUGAAAGAUGUGAAGCGGAAGUGAAAUUGAAGUAGUUUGUAAAACUUAACUUUGAUGGAUCUUGUGGCGAUUUCUGUUAAGAGAAAAAAACGUGGAGUUUUUUUGCAUGCAUGGAUACAGAAAAAAAAAAUUGCGGCUUGAAUGCUGCUGAAUUGGGAGCAGAAACUUGUAAAUAAGAGAGAAGGGAGGAUAUUGGAAUCGAGUAUCUAGAGAUGGGAAUCGGUGACUUCAAUGUUGUAAAUGCAAGAAAGCAAAAUGGUGGCUUUGAAAUUGGGGUAUGGAAGUUAAAGAAGAUGAAGAAGUGAAUUGAAUAAAAACAUUUGAAUCUGCAUGGUGAAGGGGAUUGAGUUUUUCUCUUUGGCUUUCCCUUGACUUUACAUUGAAAACACGCGUACCGAACCUAUGUUUCCAAUGUAAGUAUUAUUUCAUUGGGUAAAUUACAAUAGACUUUUCGAUUCAUGUAUGUUUCAGAUGUAAGUGUAUUUUCAUCAAAUUGGUUGAAAAGUAAAUAAAGAAACAAAAAGCAGCACUGAGUCUGAGAGUCUUCCCUCUAACGAUGUGUCUUCUGUUACAAAUUUCAAAUCUCCUCCUCUCUAUCCAACUCAAAUAUUAAACAAACCAAUCUAAUCUUUCUCUCAAGUUCAUGUUGGUGAGAACUCAAUCAGAACCGCUAAAUCAUGGUUGUUGACGGCAGAGCUGCCGCAGAGUAGAGGGAGGCGCGCUGGGGUUCGCGUCCUAGAAGGUGGACCGGCUGGUUAGACAUAACUUGGACCGGUUUUCCCAGUUUUUACCGAUUCAAACCGGUUUAUCUGGUUUUCCCCCCGGUUUUUGAGACUAGCGGUUUUGUAAGGCUGUUCAGACCGGACCUUGAUACGGUUCAUGGUUGAACCGGUCGGUCUGGUUUUUAAAACAUUGGUUAUCACCCACUUUGUAAACAAAAACAUAAAAGGAGAGAGGAUUCCCUGCCUCAACCCACUCUCUGGCGAAUUUUGCUUGGCUUGGUUAAUCAAGAUGAGAGUUUUUUAUUUCUUUUGAACCAUGGAUCGAUUUAUUAAUACUUGUAUUUUCAUCAAUUUCCACCUUCAAAUACCAUGAUGCACUUUGUUUUCUAUAUUGUAUUCGUAAAACAGUACUCUCACCCGUUUAUUUCUUAAGAGUCAAGCUUCUAC